RNAcentral lists this ribosomal RNA (253 nucleotides) under uncultured bacterium. RNAcentral's name for it is "partial 16S ribosomal RNA". It matches the Rfam family "Bacterial small subunit ribosomal RNA", at positions 524 to 776 of the family's 1533-position model. The record is from RNAcentral.
UACGAAGGGGGCUAGCGUUGUUCGGAAUCACUGGGAGUAAAGGGCGCGUAGGCGGCUUUGUAAGUCGGGGGUGAAAGCCUGUGGCUCAACCACAGAAUUGCCUUCGAUACUGCAUGGCUUGAGACCGGAAGAGGUUAGUGGAACUGCGAGUGUAGAGGUGAAAUUCGUAGAUAUUCGGAAGAACACCAGUGGCGAAGGCGGCUCACUGGACCGGUAUUGACGCUGAGGUGCGAAAGCGUGGGGAGCAAACAGG